RNAcentral lists this ribosomal RNA (493 nucleotides) under uncultured bacterium. RNAcentral's name for it is "partial 16S ribosomal RNA". It matches the Rfam family "Bacterial small subunit ribosomal RNA", at positions 28 to 506 of the family's 1533-position model. The record is from RNAcentral.
GACGAACGCUGGCGGCGUGCUUAACACAUGCAAGUCGAACGGAAAGGCCUGCUUUCCCUUGUGGAUUGCGGGUACUCGAGUGGCGAACGGGUGAGUAACACGUGAGUGAUCUGCCCCCAACUUGGGUAUAAGCCUGGGAAACUGGGUCUAAUUCCCGAUAGGACUGCAGGGUGGUGCCUGUGGUGGAAAACGAUUUUCUAGUGGUUGGGGAUGAGCUCGCGGCCUAUCAGCUUGUUGGUGGGGUAAUGGCCUACCAAGGCGGCGACGGGUAGCCGGCCUGAGAGUGUGGACGGCCACAUUGGGACUGAGAUACGGCCCAGACGCCUACGGGAGGCAGCAGUGGGGAAUAUUGCACAAUGGGCGGAAGCCUGAUGCAGCGACGCCGCGUGGGGGAUGACGGCCUUCGGGUUGUAAACUCCUUUCGACCGCGAGGAAGCCACCUGGUUGGAAGGGUGGUGACGGUAGUGGUAGAAGAAGCACCGGCUAACUACGU